GUCCUUUGGCUCUGUCAGAGUUGGGAAUGUUCUCUGGUUCUGCCUGAAACGUGUGGUGGGAGGGAAAAACAGGUAAUAAAGUUGACCUUAAUAGAAGAAGACUGAGCUCCCCCAGGGAAAGGGGAAUCCUGCUAGAAGACCACAUCUGGCCUUGAACUGCACCUCUUUCCUGGGUCCCAGCCUGGCAGCCCACCUUGCAGAUUCUGGACUUGCCAAGACACCACAGUUGCAUGAGCUGAUUUCUUAAAGUAAAAUCUCUCUUUCUCUCUGUACACACACACACACACACAACACACACACACACAACACACACACACACACACACACACACACUGUUGAUUCUCUGGAGAACUCUGACUAAUAGAGAAUGUUAGCGGGGGAAGGGCUCCGACAUGUGUUGCUUCUUUUCUUCUAAAGUAACUUAAAAUAAAUACACUUCCCCACAGUGAGGCUUCAUUUCCUUCAGUUUUUUUUUUUUUUUUUUUGUCUUUUUAGGGCUGCACCCAUAGGAUAUGGAAGUUGCCAGGCUAGGGGUCCAACCGGAGCUGUAGCCGUGGACUAUGCCAUAGCCACAGCAAUGAGGGAUCCAAGCCACAUCUGUGACCUACACCACAGCUCAUGGCAAUGCCAGAUCCUUACCCUACUGAGUGAGGCCAGGGAUUGAACCUGAGCCCUUAUGAAUGCUAGUCAGGUUUAUUAACCGCUGAGCCACACUGGGAAUUCCCUUCUGCAGUUUUAUGUGAAAAAACGACUAUUCCCCACAUAAACAAAAUGCUGACUUUAUUCUUUGUCAAUUAUAACUCUAUUCUUAGGAUGCUAUCCCUUCUUGUUCUGAGUUGCACUAUGGAGAUUUCUGGAAAUAACUGACAAUGAAGGGUCUCGGAUCCACAUAAGGGUUCCAUUUCCCAUGGAUUUUCUUCCUGCACUGGAUCAGGAAACAUAUUGUCUCACGCUGGUGGACAACAGUCCAGAGGAGGUGAGCAUCAGAGAGGAAGGAAGUCAUCCUGGUGGUUCUGGCCCUGUGUCUCUGUAACUCUGGCUAGAUCUUCCUCUAUGUGUGCUUCAUCCUCAGAUAAGCUUCCCUCAUGGUGCCAGUGUGGUCACAGCUUCCCCAGGCUUUGCUUCUGUACUCCAGAAGAGGAGAAGGAAUUAGUUUCUCUCUUUAGAGUGGGGAAGGCUGAAGACAUGAAAACAACCUAAAUAUCCAUCAGCAGAUGAAUUGGUAAAGGAGAUGUGGUAUAUACAUACAAUGGAAUACUACUCGUCCUUAACACAGAAUUUGCGGUAACAUGGAUGGAUUAUCAUACUAAGUGAAGUAAGUCAGGAGAAAGAUAAAUACCAUAUGUUAUCACUUAUAUGUGGAAUCUAAAAUAUGACACAAAUGAAUGUAUCUGUGAAACAGAUACAAGCUCAAAGACAUAGAAAACAGACUUGUGUUUGCCAAGGGCAGGGGGUAGGUGGGAUGGACUGGAAGUUGGGGGGAGUAGAUGCAGACUAUUAUAAAUGGAAGGGAUAAACGACAAGGCCCUACUACAGAGCACAAGCAACUAUAUUCAAUAUCCUUAGAUAAAUCAUAAUGGAAAAGAAUAUUUAAAAAAGAGUGUGUAUGUGUAUAUAUAACUGAAUCACUUUGCUGUACAGCAUAAAUUAAUAUAACUCUGUGAGUCAACUAUAUUUCAAUAAAAAAAAAAUAGAGCAGGGAAGGCUGUGAUGU
Molecule: long non-coding RNA, 1714 nt
Filed under: Sus scrofa (pig)
Lineage: Eukaryota; Metazoa; Chordata; Mammalia; Artiodactyla; Suidae
Description: lncRNA (ENSSSCG00070011020.1)
Source: RNAcentral